CCUACGGGAGGCAGCAGUGGGGAAUAUUGGGCAAUGGGCGCAAGCCUGACCCAGCAACGCCGCGUGAAGGAAGAAGGCCCUCGGGUUGUAAACUUCUUUUGUCAGGGACGAAGAAAGUGACGGUACCUGACGAAUGAGCCACGGCUAACUACGUGCCAGCAGCCGCGGUAAUACGUAGGUGGCAAGCGUUAUCCGGAUUUACUGGGUGUAAAGGGUGCGUAGGCGGAAUGCCAAGUCAGCGGUAAAAUCGCGGGGCUCAACCUCGCUCCGCCGUUGAAACUGGGGUUCUUGAGUGGGCGAGAAGUAUGCGGAAUGCGUGGUGUAGCGGUGAAAUGCAUAGAUAUCACGCAGAACUCCGAUGGCGAAGGCAGAAUACCGGAGCCCAACUGACGCUGAAGCGCGAAAGCGUGGGUAUCGAACAGGAUUAGAUACCCGUGUAGUC
This 442-nucleotide ribosomal RNA is filed under the name uncultured bacterium. RNAcentral describes it as "partial 16S ribosomal RNA". It matches the Rfam family "Bacterial small subunit ribosomal RNA", at positions 338 to 795 of the family's 1533-position model. The record is from RNAcentral.